Molecule: ribosomal RNA, 356 nt
Filed under: uncultured Anaerolineaceae bacterium
Lineage: Bacteria; Bacillati; Chloroflexota; Anaerolineae; Anaerolineales; Anaerolineaceae
Description: bacterial SSU rRNA
Rfam family: Bacterial small subunit ribosomal RNA
Source: RNAcentral
ACGACCUUCGGGAGCUUGUACAGGUGCUGCAUGGCUGUCGUCAGCUCGUGUCGUGAGAUGUUCGGUUAAGUCCGCUAACGAGCGCAACCCUCGCUGUGUGUUACAAGUGUCACACAGAACUGCCGGUCAUUAAACCGGAGGAAGUUGGGGAUGACGUCAAGUCAGCAUGGCCUUUAUAUCCUGGGCUACACACACGCUACAAUGGGAAAGGACAAUAGGUAGCGAAACCGCGAGGUGGAGCCAAUCCAGCAAAAUUUCCCUCAGUUCAGAUUGCAGGCUGCAACUCGCCUGCAUGAAGUUGGAGUUGCUAGUAAACGCAGGUCAGCCAUACUGCGUUGAAUACGUUCCCGGGGCUU